This 270-nucleotide unclassified non-coding RNA is filed under the name uncultured fungus. RNAcentral's name for it is "partial contains 5.8S ribosomal RNA, internal transcribed spacer 2, and large subunit ribosomal RNA". The record is from RNAcentral. Lineage: Eukaryota; Fungi.
AACGCACAUUGCGCCCGCCAGCACUCUGGCGGGCAUGCCUGUCCGAGCGUCAUCUCAACCAUCGAGGCCCCCCGGGGCGUCGGCGCUGGGGGACGGCCCGCCCCGCCCGCUCGGCGGGGCGCGGCCGCCCCCGAAAUGCAGUGGCGAACCCGCCGCGGCCUCCCCUGCGCAGUACGAAGCUCGCACCGGAGCCCGGCGGGCCCGCGCCGUGAAAACCCCCACCCGCGAACGGUUGACCUCGGAUCAGGUAGGGCUACCCGCUGAACUUAA